GGGUGCGAUCAUACCAGCACUAAAACACGAAUUCC
RNAcentral lists this ribosomal RNA (35 nucleotides) under Prospero autumnale (starry hyacinth). Lineage: Eukaryota; Viridiplantae; Streptophyta; Magnoliopsida; Asparagales; Asparagaceae. The record is from RNAcentral.